UCAUUAAAAAAUUAAUUUUUUAAUCAACAUUUUUAUUAAAAAGAAAAAAAACAAUUUCACUCUAUUUAAAAAGUUGACAGAAAAAUUUAAUAAAAAAAAGAAUUGUACAGGCCAUUUUGGCCCCAAACCCACUUUCUAAUCCCUAAAACCCAAACUAAACCAAACCAACUAACCCCUAGCCCAAACAAAUCAAAGCCCCAACCCAAACACAAAACAAAAAUCAGAAAAAGAAACCUAAAAACCCUAGCCGCCUUUGACCCUUGUCCCAUCCACCACCGACGUCUGCUCCAUCGCCCUUGUCACGUCCACCGCCCAUUUUCCUGCAAGAGAAACAGAACAAGAAGCAAGUUGUAAACGCCUAUAAAAGGCUGAAUCCAUUACCAUUUGUAACAUUCGGCAUUGGUGAAAUAAGAACAACAUUUUGGUUUUAAAUACAGAACACAAAAACAGAUCCGAAGAUAAGCAUAAAGUCGCAGCGAAAAAACAGAGAAGGCAGUCCAAAGAUUUCGAGCCGAAGGUUUAUCCAUCUUCUUUUUAUUUUUCCUUAUUUCGGACCCAUUCAUACAUAUCUUUCUCUAUUUUAUAUUUUAAAAAACAGCAUACACGAAUAUAUAAAAAAAUAAAAAAAUAUACCCUUUUUUGGAUUUCCGGCCACCGGGCGUGGCAGAUAGGGACGAUCCGGUGACCGGACCAGAGGGGAAGGAGAGAGGGCCAAAGGAUGCUCUCAGGUUUUUUGAAGAAAAUAGAAGGAAAAUGAAGUUUUUUGCAAAAAC
RNAcentral lists this long non-coding RNA (773 nucleotides) under Gossypium barbadense (sea-island cotton). RNAcentral describes it as "long non-coding RNA (GBAR_LNC009760)". The record is from RNAcentral. Lineage: Eukaryota; Viridiplantae; Streptophyta; Magnoliopsida; Malvales; Malvaceae.